This is a long non-coding RNA of Manduca sexta (tobacco hornworm), 490 nucleotides long. RefSeq lists it as uncharacterized. The transcript is spliced from 2 exons. The record is from RefSeq and is a predicted model, not a curated record. Lineage: Eukaryota; Metazoa; Arthropoda; Insecta; Lepidoptera; Sphingidae.
CCGCCAUACCCAUCGGCUCUAUCUUCCCUGAGACAGGAAUAACCAGGAAUUUUAAAACAAAAUUCCGGUUUUAACCACGUCUCACAUAGAGCUAUAAUACAAGGGUUAAAUUUGUUAAUAAGAUAAAUUAAAUCAGAUUUGUUCUUCACUACGCUUCUGCAGUUCCAUUGUAGUACUUUGCCUAAACAUGUCCACUGGUACACCUCUUACAAGCCCCAUUCUGGUAACAUUAAAUGAUGGAAUAAAGGCUUCAUAGCCUUUUUCCAAUAAGGCAUGAUGCUUUAUAAAAGAAUUUGCAGCUGAGUGACUGGAGAAUGCCAUCGAAAUUUUGUUGCGACCGAUACGUUUCAAACUGCCUUGUACUAUGUUUGGCACCUGGUUUUUAUAUAAAAAUCUGCCAAAGCAUAUUGGAUGCAAGUUGAGAUCCUGUGUUACCUCACCAGUACUAGACCUAGCAACAUGAAUAAUGAAUGGUGAAGCAUCCAAUGCA